GUAGGUGGCAAGCGUUGUCCGGAAUUAUUGGGCGUAAAGCGCGCGCAGGGCGGUCCUUUAAGUCUGAUGUGAAAGCCCGCGGCUCAACCGUGGAGGGUCAUUGGAAACUGGGGGACUUGAGUACAGAAGAGGAAAGCGGAAUUCCAAGUGUAGCGGUGAAAUGCGUAGAGAUUUGGAGGAACACCAGUGGCGAAGGCGGCUUUCUGGUCUGUAACUGACGCUGAGGCGCGAAAGCGUGGGGAGCAAACAGGAUUAGAUACCCUGGUAGUCCACGCCGUAAACGAUGAGUGCUAAGUGUUAGGGGGUUUCCGCCCCUUAGUGCUGCAGCUAACGCAUUAAGCACUCCGCCUGGGGAGUACGGCCGCAAAGGCUG
RNAcentral lists this ribosomal RNA (373 nucleotides) under uncultured organism. RNAcentral describes it as "partial 16S ribosomal RNA". It matches the Rfam family "Bacterial small subunit ribosomal RNA", at positions 527 to 896 of the family's 1533-position model. The record is from RNAcentral.